Molecule: long non-coding RNA, 413 nt
Organism: Hyla sarda
Lineage: Eukaryota; Metazoa; Chordata; Amphibia; Anura; Hylidae
Exons: 3
Source: RefSeq, a predicted model, not a curated record
AAAAAAUAUUAAAUAAUAUAUUACUUCUCCAUCUCAUAAAGUCUUGUGAUUUUAGUGACAAACCACCCAUCCCAAACUCCUCAAAGGCCCUUCAAAGGAACCUCCACUUCAUCUAGAGAAUGCUAGAAGGACCACUGUGGGAACAACUGUUCUUUGAAAUGACAGCUUUGGAGACAGAAAGACAGUAAGAGUAGAGUGCAUUUUGUACAAUGCAGGAGAUUUUAGAAGACAGCCAGAAACAUGGGUGAUGAACACAAUGCUUCUUCUAACCAGCAGAUGCACUCUCAAGAUUACAUCACACUUCUCAGAGAAGGGAAAUAGAGGAAUACUAAUAAAACACAUACACUUGUUUCAUAUUACACGUGUCUUGUGUAGCUUGGAGAACACACGUUCAUAUGUAUUGGGUACUGGGA